CUAGCUGCUACUUAUAGUUAGCUAUAGAUAUCACUGUUGAAUUUCUUGGGAAGAAAAAAUGAAGGACAUCAUCCCCAUGGAUAAAAAAUUCUUUAAGAUAGUGUUUAGCAAGCAGCUCACGGCAACAGAUCUUGAGCAUCAGUUGAUUGUUCCAAGCGAUGUCCUCAAGAAAUAUCCAAUUCUUCGUCAAAAUGAGUUUGUGAUCAUUUCAUUCGAUCAGAAUGAAAAGCAAUGGGAAUUUCCCCUAGCCACCCGCAAGACUGGUAAAUAUGCCAAGCCAACAAUGCCUGCAGGCUCGUGGCAUCCAUUCGUACAAGAGUUUGGCCUUCGUGCUGGUGACGCGGUGGUCUUCUACAUAAGCAAAUGCGAUGAAGCUGGUAAGAUACAAGUUCGAGGCAUGAGACAAACUAUCUCACUUAUGGGUACUGAGGUUUGGAAUGAGGUGGAAAAGGUUGACAACCAGGCUUGAACAUCUCAAGCAAGGGGACCUGCCUAGCUUCAGUCUUGAGGCCUUUAUGACGGUAGCUAGCUCCUAAGGGAUCAUUAUCUAUUUCUGCGUCUUAGUUUAGGCGUUUGGUUAUGCAUACAUGCUAUGGUGUGUGUUUUUUUCUUCUCUUAGUAUUGAGAGUCGAUAGGUAAGGGUUAUAAUCGUUGGUGUCCACUCUAGAACAGAUUUUCUGGCGUCUUUCACUUUUCUUUUUCGAUUUACAAAGAACGGUCAUACUUUAACAACCUGUGUUUUGGCUGUUGGAAAUAGAUUUAUCUAAGUGUGUUUUAAUGUGG
This 783-nucleotide unclassified non-coding RNA is filed under the name Hevea brasiliensis (rubber tree). Lineage: Eukaryota; Viridiplantae; Streptophyta; Magnoliopsida; Malpighiales; Euphorbiaceae. The record is from RNAcentral.